GAGUUUGAUCCUGGCUCAGAUUGAACGCUGGCGGCAUGCCUUACACAUGCAAGUCGAGCGGCAGCAUGAUCUAGCUUGCUAGAUUGAUGGCGAGUGGCGAACGGGUGAGUAAUACAUCGGAACGUGCCCUGUAGUGGGGGAUAACUAGUCGAAAGAUUAGCUAAUACCGCAUACGACCUGAGGGUGAAAGUGGGGGACCGCAAGGCCUCAUGCUAUAGGAGCGGCCGAUGUCUGAUUAGCUAGUUGGUGGGGUAAAGGCCCACCAAGGCGACGAUCAGUAGCUGGUCUGAGAGGACGAUCAGCCACACUGGGACUGAGACACGGCCCAGACUCCUACGGGAGGCAGCAGUGGGGAAUUUUGGACAAUGGGCGAAAGCCUGAUCCAGCAAUGCCGCGUGUGUGAAGAAGGCCCUCGGGUUGUAAAGCACUUUUGUCCGGAAAGAAACGGCUCUGGUUAAUACCUGGGGUCGAUGACGGUACCGGAAGAAUAAGGACCGGCUAACUACGUGCC
RNAcentral lists this ribosomal RNA (511 nucleotides) under uncultured microorganism. RNAcentral describes it as "bacterial SSU rRNA". It matches the Rfam family "Bacterial small subunit ribosomal RNA", at positions 9 to 509 of the family's 1533-position model. The record is from RNAcentral.